CUACGGGCGGCUGCAGUGAGGAAUAUUGGACAAUGGGGGAAACCCUGAUCCAGCAAUGCCGCGUGAAUGAAGAAGGCCUUAGGGUUGUAAAGUUCUUUCACUCGUGAAGAUUAUGACGGUAACGAGAGAAGAAGCCCCGGCUAACUCUGUGCCAGCAGCCGCGGUAAGACAGAGGGGGCUAGCGUUGUUCGGAAUAACUGGGCGUAAAGGGUGCGUAGGCGGUUGUUUAAGUAAAGUGUAAAAGCCCUGGGCUUAACCCAGGAAUCGCAUUUUAAACUGGACAGCUAGAGGGUGGUAGAGGAAAGUGGAAUUCCUAGUGUAGAGGUGAAAUUCGUAGAUAUUAGGAGGAACACCAGAGGCGAAGGCGGCUUUCUGGACCAUUACUGACGCUGAGGCACGAAAGCGUGGGGAGCAAACAGGAUUAGAUACCCACGUAGUC
This 439-nucleotide ribosomal RNA is filed under the name uncultured bacterium. RNAcentral describes it as "partial 16S ribosomal RNA". It matches the Rfam family "Bacterial small subunit ribosomal RNA", at positions 339 to 795 of the family's 1533-position model. The record is from RNAcentral.